Anopheles funestus (African malaria mosquito) is the source of this 5641-nucleotide long non-coding RNA. RefSeq lists it as uncharacterized. The record is from RefSeq and is a predicted model, not a curated record. The transcript is spliced from 2 exons. NCBI's taxonomy places the organism in Eukaryota, Metazoa, Arthropoda, Insecta, Diptera, Culicidae.
AAAAAAAAAACAGCGUGUAUGAUCCCCCGCAAAAAUCUACUGAUUGCAAAAGCUAUACUAGCGAGAACGUGCGAGUGAGCCGAAUCGCAUGAAGAACCCUCAUUCCGGCUCGCUCGGCUGAAGUUCUCGUUCUCGAAGGAAUUUUCUUCAAACCGUAUGCCGUAAAGGCCUCGGCGAUUCGGCGCACUGGUAGGCUGGUUUUUGUGUGUGCGCGUGUGUGUGUUUGCGCUUUCCGUUGGUUUGACGGACGGGGGGUUUCGAACUCUCCGUCCGAGAAAGCGAUUGAGAUGUUCUUAUUGCUCGUUUGCUCACUCACCCUGCUCAAGAUGGUGUGUGCUAGCUACCCCGUUUCCACUUCCGGAGUACUAUGCUCCAACCUGCGUGUAUGUCUCCCCAUCCCCACAUGCUCCACAACCCCUUUUGAAUGUUUUUGGGUAAGUGUAUUUGUGUGCUGCUUUCUCACUUUUGCUCAUACCACCGUGCUGGACGUUUUCGCUCGUGGAACAAAGAGCAACAGCUUCACACCGCGCGCGCAUCAUCAUCAACGCCACCGUACCGCGGUUAUCAUCAACAGCAUCAUCAUCAUCAUCAUCAUCAUCAUCAUCAUCACCAGCAGCAGCAGCAGCAUGAUUAGCAGCCAGCCAGCUUAUUAGCCUUGAAGGCGGUGAAGGAGCGAAAGAAAGAGCGACGGUUUCGUUCGAUCAUCGCCACCAUCGUUCGGCAACAUGUUUUUCCAUUCGGUCCGGUUCUCCACCCGAACGGGCGAGAGGACGCACCGACGACGUCCGACUAACCGGGGAUAUCGGGUUCGGGUUCCCGGGUUCCGCCGUGUUCGGUCGGGCUUCGCGCUCGCAGUACAUAUCUUUUAUGUAUUUAUGUUGGUUGCGUUCUCUGCCGUUUUGUUAUUACCUCGAAAAACCAGUCGAUUUCGUUUCAGUCUUCAUACAGUCUUCGCUUUAACCCGUUCCAAUCUAUCCGCCGCUCUCACAGUUAUCAGUAUACAACAAAACAACAACAAUAACAACAUAUUAAUAUCUUAACAAAAGUUUGUAACACUAACGCGCGCCAGUAUCGGUCCAGCAAUCGCAUCUUAACAAACGGUUGAGUGUACGGAUGUUUUUUUUCUUUCUUUCUUUCUAUCAAACGACCGAUCGGUACUUAAGAGUUGCUGGUUUUUUUUAUUGUUUUGCUUUACUCUUACUGCUCUUGGUAAAGUUAGAUCCGGAAACAGGGAAUUUCUUGCCAUUGCUGUAACAUCCACAAUUCGUACGAUCGCAGCAUUCAGAUCUUUAGUGUGUGUGAGCGUGUGUGAGACUGUGUUUUUAUCGCCCUUCUUUUCUGCAAAAACAGAAAUCUAAAGUUGAGCUUUAAUUCUUACGUUUUUUUGGAACCGAAAAAAGCGAUCACACAGUUUCCGUGUGUGUGCAACUUUUUUUUUGGUGUAAAGCAUUCCUUUCAGUGCGUGUGAGUGCGUGAACGUCUUCGUCGUGAAGGUGCCGCAUUGAAACAGCGUGAGUGUUGUGUAAAGUGUCGCCUGUGCGUCUAAGUGUUUCUCCACGUUUCGUGCCAAAAGUUUCGUGCUCCGUUUUUCGUACCGGUCACAGCCACCUCCACCCCAACACACCACACCUCCUACCAUCCCGCGGAGCGUUUUCCCCUUGUUGUCGGUUGUUUGCUUAAGUAAGUUCUGUUCAUCCUAUCGUUCGCGGAAGGAAGGAUUCACGAUCCUCCGAGUGCAAACCUUAAGUUAUACACCGCAGAAAGACAUCCAGCGGAGGGACCACGUACGCCCGUUCCAGCGCAUCACUGUGCGUUUCUUUGCGUGCGUGUUUUAUGGUUGAGUGAGUGUGUGCGUGUUCGUAGUGGUGGUACGUCGACAUAAAACAUCCGAGAGGAGGAGACAACAACGUAUAAAAGAGAGGGGUCGAAUCAACCUAACCUGACACAACCAGAAGCUGAAGCGUUCCCCAAUAAAAAAAAAAAACAAAAUAACAAAAAUCCCUUCACGAAUUCACAACACAAAGUCAAAGGGAGCAGCAACGUGCAUAACAACGUGCGGACGCCCUUGCGUGGUGUAUCCCUAUUGUGACCCGCCUACCCUUUUCACACGCUUUUCCUCCUCCGAGGUUCCCGAAACCCCAAACCUCCACCAGGAACCAAGUCCCCUCCGGCCCUGUAUCAGAAAACACGCUUACCUUGGUCCAAUCACAGACAAGCAAAAAAAAAACACUCGCGCCACGUAUACCGCGGUGUGGUUGUACGGUUUGGGUCACGAACGUUUCGCCCCGUUAAAGCAAAAAGGACGCGAAACCAAUUGGCGGUACAAAGCAAAACAAUAUCAUAUAUAUACGGGACGAAAGCGUUAAGUGUGUAACAGGUUAGUUUUGACUGGGUUAUGAUAUGAGACCCGCUUGCUGCUGCUACUGAUCGCACUGGAAAAAAAAACUUGCUGGCGAAGAAGAAAACAUAAUCCAAUUGCCACAAACUUCAUUACGAAAGGGGUCACAACGGUUCUCUGAGACUCGGCAUCCAGGAUCAUUGCAUACGUGACGCGUUUAGGUUCUCUUAAAGAAAAAAAAACCACCCAAAACAAACCCGAAACAAACAUUAAAAUUACACCCCAAAAACGCUUGAUCGCUAGCUUGAUCGCGCUCGUUCGUCCGCGUUUGCCAGACGCGCUUUGUGCAAUUUACACACAGGGGUUGAAACCACGUUGCCGUGUGAAGGAAAAACGUGCGGACGGGGUGGUGAUAUUUUCAACUGCAAAUCAUUCUCGCAUUCCUUCCUGUGUGUUAUUUUUUGCGAACAAACCACACACACACGCCCCAAUAGCUGCGUCGUGCUUUUUGGGCAAUUUUGGAAUCAUUCGCGUGUACACUCCUGAGUGUCUGUGUGUGUGUAUUCUUCAACUUCUUCUCUGUUGUUGUUGUUGAUAGAUAAGAAGACGCUAGCGAAAAGAAACGAAAGGAGAAGCAAACGGGUUUAAAUAGAAGAAAGCAACAACCAAAAAAAAAACAAGUCAGCUAAUGAGCGGCUAGAGAACGAAGAACGUGAAGUCUACCAAACAAAUCAACUAAAAACUUUUAGAGAAAAGAAAAAGGAAGAACAAAAACACAAACAUAAAAAUCAUAAAGAAACAUAUCAGGAAAAGUAGCAGGAAAAGAAGGGAGGGAAAAAAAACAUUGAGGAAAUAGACCGGGGAGCAAACGAUCAAGUGGUGGAAAAAUCGAAACCGAACCCAAAGCCAAUACACACAUAUACACACACGCGGUAACGCUGUGGGUAAUUGUCUUCUUCUUCUUCUUUCUCUUACACUAAGACCAAAGAAGGGAGAGUACGGUCGAAGAUUCUUAGGCCUUUUGAUGAGCUGGACGGUGGGCUAUAGUUUUUCUUACUGAGCAAGUGUAUGUGUGAGUGCGUAUGUCUGCGAAGGGUGUGUUUAGGGUGUGCGACUAAAGAGAAUUCCACCCCGUGUCAGGUGUAUGUGUGUGAAUGUGAGUUUGUGAGCGUAUAAAAGAAACAAAAGGGGUGGAAAAAGGUAGACGGGCCGAAGGUGAAAAGCCAGAACUGAUCGUAGUUGCGUGUUUUCUGGCUUGUGAUCUUCUUCAAAGAUCACAUUCUCUCGCUCCCAAACAGCUAGAUAGUGUGUGUGCAUGAUUACGCUGAAGAAGAGCAGUUAAAAAAGGAAGGUGUAUGAAGGGUGUGAGGUCGAAAGCAUAAAGCCAAACAAGCAAAGGAAAGAAAAAAAGCGGAAACAGCGCUACAGGGUCAGGUGUGUAUCAGACCAAACCAGAGAGAUAUAUCUACGCAAUACAGCCAAAGCUUGAAAAAGCAACUCAAAAAAAAGGUGCGAAGGAAGGUACAGUAAGACGAAGAAAAAUAAAACACACUCACACGACUCGAACCAAAACGUUUGAAAAGCAGCAGGGUUUGUUGUUCAUUUUAAAGGUUCGCAUCAGAAGACGGUGUAUUUUACCUACACCCGGUCAAGUCGGCAAAGGAAAAGGGCACAUACACACAUAAGCAUAACAACGUGUCCGGGUUGGUACGAAACCGACGAGUGAAGAAAAAUCUUCCUCUGACGCGCGGCAUUACUUCAUGAUUCCUCCUGCUUUUGGGGCGUGCGUGGUUCGAAUCGAAGAUCGUCGACCGUGCAGACAACCCGACCGAAAAACCGGUUCCAGCCAUAAUCAAAAAUAAUUACCAACCAAUACAACCCGGUUUUGCCUCACAAACACACCGGUAACCGUUUGCGUGAUCUUUCCGCUUCUCGCGCGUUGAUGUCGGUUUGAUUCUGUGGAUGUGUGUGCUAUUGCGUACACAACACACCGGUUGAUCAGCAGCACACGGGGCACGGUGUGGGUUUCUGUUCUGUUCUGAAGUCGUCUUUCGUAGUCGUCUGUGGUAGCGCCCUGGUAAAGAAGCGGACAGAGCGAAAGACGUGUACAGCGGAACGACUCUGCGCGGAAGUUGAAGAUCAUCAGAAGUAAUCCCGCAUCCAUUCGAACCCGUUCUACUUGUACGGAACUGCUCGGUUGGUGUAAAACGUUUUUUUUUGCGAUCGGGACAGAUUUUUGGGUGCAAAGUUUUAACUUAACCUAACCUAACCAACUUGUGAAUCCUUCCGCACAAUUGGCGCGUGUGUGAAUUCUCCCCGAAUAGCCUGUUUUUUUUCCAAAGACGUGAGUGUUUGUAUGAGUGCGUGUUUCGGUUGUGUGUGGUGUGCUGGACCUGAAACGAUCCAAAAAGGCAGGGUGUGUAUUCGUGUAGGACGACGUCACCCAUCGUGUUAAUACGUCAGGUGUGACGACAGGUGUAUAGGAAACAGUUUUGUAGAGUAAUUAGCCAAAAGAAGAAAAAAACUGAGCCCAUAGCUUGUAGCGAUAUAAGAGAGAUUGGUGAAUGCAUCUAGCUUUACGAUAGCGUACUAUAGGUGUAGAAAGCAAUUGUGCGUGGCAAAGUUUAGUGGUAAGCAAACUACUCCUUAGAUAAGACAAUCCAGCGUGAUCAACCCACGCGAGGAUCGACAAUCAAAAGAAGCGCGUUUUGACAAUCAUCAAAUAUAUCAAAGGCACUUUUGACGUACGUGUCGGUACUCGAAACGGUGACAAUCUCUAGACUCUAUACUCUACGUACCAAUCUAUAGACCUAGCGCGAGAGCAUCCGGUUCCGAGACAACUGUACUUGUUUCGACUUUUGUAUCUUCUUGCGAUCGACAGAAGAUCGGUCGCUACACGAAGUUGAGACUUUUGGGGCUAUUGGGCUCGUCUCGUAAGGUCACUUUCGACAAUCACGGUAUAACCACAGUCGUGUUGUGCUGACAAUCUCUAGACAAUCUAUAUCUCAAGUAGCGAACUUUACACUGUCUUUUUCACUUUCUAUUGUGGAGUGUUGGAGUAUACUCCCGCUCUCUUAGUAAUAAAGCUGUAGGCUCUAGUCUGUAAGGUAAGAAGGAAGAUCAAUUAUAUAGAGAAAUUUUUGGAGUGCAAUUAUAAACCAAAACGUGUCUAGCUUUAAGGUUAGUUUUCCCCUCCCUCAAAAAGUUGUGAACGAAAAGAAGAAGUAGCGAAUUGCGCCAUCUACAGCUCACAAACCGGGUUGUUUGGUGUGAAGAGAAUCUAAAGAGUUACAGUGCGCGUGU